UCUGUGUAUCACACAGAAGAUUUCAUUUUUUUUCUUGUAUAUAAUUUACUUUUCUGAUGUUGCUAAGAAGUGCGAUUGGUCUGAAGUUGUUUAGCUCACUUUUGUUGCAUUUUUCAAACAGAGCUGUCACAUUUUUAAACUAUCUGGAAAAAUAAGUUCAUGCCAGAUAUAAUUAUUUAGUUAUUUUCCAAUUCUGAUAUCUGAAAAAACCUGACAUAUCUAACGUGUCUCAGUUAUUCUACAAACAUAAUAUCUACUCUCUUUCAGAAACAAGGCAAAAAGGAAGCAUUCAGAUAAAAAACCUUUUCAGGUGUAGAACAUGUCAAUUACAGUAAACAUUACAGAAAUAGUAAAAAAAUCAUGAGGCAAUAUCAUUAAUAUUGGUUAAGAAUAUAAAUGGCCACAGAUGUAUGAAUAACAAGGUUAUCACAGUCAAUAUACUUAAUGUAAUAUUGUUAUAUUGGAUACAGAACACGAACAUAUACAUCUAUAUGUAAGGUUCAAAAGAGAUUAAACUACAUCACAAUGCAGAAUGAUACGACAUGAAAUAUUCAACGCGAACAUCAUCAGUUCAAAUUAUCAUUGAAGAAUUCUUCCAGCGAAUAAUAAGCUUUGGAGAGAAGCAAAGUUUUCAAUGUAUUCUUCAUGAUCACAGAAGACAGAUUUCUGAGAGAUUUAGGUACCUUGUUAUAAAUAUUCAUGAUUGAAAACGGUAUAUUUUUUUUGUAGAUAGGUCAAAUGUGUCUUUAUAUUCAAAAUGUUAUUUUUGUUUCGUGUGUUGUGGGUGUGGUUUCUAUCAUGAGUCGCAAAAAGAGAUACAUUUUCUUUGACAAAUACCACAGAUUCAUAAAUAUAGAGACCUGUUAGUGUUAAUAUUUUUUUAUGUACGAAUAUUUUUUUACAACUUUCUCUCUGAGAAAGGUUGAAUAUUUUUCUGAGAUACCGUGUUUGCAAUACGAAUAUUUUUUAUGUAUGUGCAGACAUUCCCCAGAAUAUAAUGCCAUAUCUGAUGUGACUCUGAAUAUAACCAUUAUAUGCUAACAUCGCAGCCUCAGUGGAUAUAUUAUGUGUAAUUAUUUUCAGGGCAUAGCAGUACCUUGACAUUUCUGUUGCCACUUUAUCUAUGUGGCUCUUCCAGUUCAGCUUUGAGUCAAUUAUAAUUCCAAGAAAGGAAAGUUGGGACACUGGUUCUAAAAUAGUUACACCAACACUAAAAGUAUUAUUUGUGCCGUUUUGGUUUUAAUUUUUCCUGAUCUUUCAAUUCGGAGCAUUUGAGUCUCAUGAUCGGAUAAUGCAGAGGUAAUAACUUCUCCAGGAUGAUCGUUUUCGAAGUUUAUAAAAAUAUUAUCCAGUAGUGAAGAAGAUCUUGAUGUUAUUCUUGUCGGUUCAUUUGUUUGUUUGUGCAGAUUAUAUGUUAAUAAAAGGUGUAGAAAAGACUGA
This is a long non-coding RNA of Leptinotarsa decemlineata (Colorado potato beetle), 1440 nucleotides long. The record is from RefSeq and is a predicted model, not a curated record. NCBI's taxonomy places the organism in Eukaryota, Metazoa, Arthropoda, Insecta, Coleoptera, Chrysomelidae.